Molecule: ribosomal RNA, 253 nt
Filed under: uncultured Eubacteriales bacterium
Lineage: Bacteria; Bacillati; Bacillota; Clostridia; Eubacteriales
Description: uncultured Clostridiales bacterium partial 16S ribosomal RNA
Rfam family: Bacterial small subunit ribosomal RNA
Source: RNAcentral
UACGUAGGGGGCAAGCGUUAUCCGGAAUCACUGGGUGUAAAGGGAGCGUAGACGGCUGAGCAAGCCUGAAGUGAAAGGCGGGGGCCCAACCCCCGGACUGCUUUGGGAACUGUACGGCUGGAGUGCAGGAGAGGUAAGUGGAAUUCCUGGUGUAGCGGUGAAAUGCGUAGAUAUCAGGAGGAACACCGGCGGCGAAGGCGACUUUCUGGACAGUAACUGACGUUGAGGCACGAAAGCGUGGGUAUCGAACAGG